Molecule: unclassified non-coding RNA, 2021 nt
Filed under: Hevea brasiliensis (rubber tree)
Lineage: Eukaryota; Viridiplantae; Streptophyta; Magnoliopsida; Malpighiales; Euphorbiaceae
Source: RNAcentral
GCGGUGUUCAAGUUGAUAAUUAUUUGCCAUGAUAAAAUGACUAAUUAUACUUCUGCUGAUUUACUUGAUCAAAGUUGCUUCAACUUUAAGAUCGUUUCCUUGACUUCUUAUUGCUGCUCAUUGGAUUGUACACGUUCAUCAUGGUUUACAAAUGAUGGUAAGCGCUAACCACUCAAACGAAAAUGAUUGAGAAGCGUUGAGAUUACUUUUCAGAUAUUCAUCUCUGUGCCAUUUGGUAGUCUAGUGGUAAUACCAACCUUCAGAGCAUUCCGUUCAUGUAGUUCUCCUUGAGAUUAUGUAAUGCUUGCUGAAUAGAUUCUUCAUCUUGGCUGGAAUACUUUAAGCAUAUCAAUCGUUGGGCAACACGAUACAGCAUCUGCAGUUGAUGAUACAGUUGGCAGUUUACUUCCAUCUGCUUUAUUUCCUUUUCUUUGAUCUUUGACGUGAUGCUUCUAGCCGUUUCAAUCACUGAACUUGGUAAGCCAGCCACUUCUGCCAACAGAAGGCCAUAAUGUGGUACAUGUCUUGGUCCAUCCUUGAGUUGAAACUUGAAAUCUAAACGGUUGUUUUUAAUGGCAACAUCAAAGUGAAGAAGCUUGACACUUGGGUAGAUGGUUGCUAGUUCUGAUAGGUUCUCCAUAUGAGUAGCAAAUAUUGUAUACGCUUUGAGUGAUAGCAGAUGCUCACAGCAGCUCCAGGCAAUUGCAAAUCCAUCAGAAGAAGAAGUAGCUCUCCCAAGCUCAUCCAUAAUUAUCAGGCUUCUAUUAACAAAGUAAAGUUGUGAAUAUAUAUUUCACAUUUCUGUUGGUAAGAGCAGAUGAUAUGUCACCUCUGGGACAGAUUUUGCAUGACAAAAGCUGUCUCCUUCAUCUCUGUCAUAAACUGUAGCACCCAAAGUAAAAACAACAGCAUGACAUGGUUUCCUACAAUCAAAACGUACUGGAGUUUGAUUCAAGAUUAUCCACAGAACCCAUCCUUGUAAAUAUACGAUCAACUACCCUUAUGGUUGAGAAGCGAGCAGGAACAUAACAACCGAUAUGAGCCAGAAUAACAAUAAGACAAACUUGUUGAAGAUAAGUGCUCUUUCCACUCAUGUUCGGGCCCAUGACAAUGACCAUGUUUGACGCUUCUGAAAUAAAGAGAUUGUUGGGAACAAAGUCAUUGUGAAUACUUUCCAGGACAGGAUGUCUUCCAGCUUCAAUUGCGAAUGGACCAUUAUUUGUGAAUUCUGGUCUAGAAUAUCGAUCAACAAGCUUAGUUGAUAUUACAUGAGCAAAUGAAUUAACAAUCAUAUCCAGAAGGCAUAGAACCUCUGCAAGCAGGGCAAGCGUGGAGACAUGCUCUCUUAUAGCAUCUAAUAGAGCUUCAAGGCAAACUUCUGUUCUUAUAUAGCACUCUUCAGCUGCCGACUUAUUCCUGACAUUCAGAGAAGCAAGUUCCAAAGUAGAGCAAUGUACAUUGUUUCCAUGUUUCAGGACCUGAAUGAACUUGCUUGGGAGCUUUCCCUGGAUGUCCUUCAGUGGAAUGCUAAAGUAAAAGCCUUGUCUAUUAUUGAAAGGAAGUUUUAGGUUUGGCAGCUUGAAUUCUUCACGGUAUUUGUUUGCAAGAUUAUGUAUAGCUUCACUAGUAUCACAAAAUGUUCUCCGUGCAAUAUCCAAAAGUCCGUCAAUUCCAGCCUUGACAGCAAAACACUGCUGUGUUCGGGCAACAAAAGGAACCCUUGCAUGAAGCACAUCUUCAUCUAUCACCUCACCAAUUCUCUUUCUGAUGGAAGCAUAUUUCUCAUUUUCACAGACCGUCUUGUAAAUAUUUGCAAGAAGAAAACUUUUUGCAUCUUUAAGCACCUUUGAGAGUAAAGGCAAGGCAUCUAAAGCAGUUUUAAGAAGAAUAAUACUUGAUAUCAACACUUGGCUCCUUCUAGCAUUAUCAGUACCUAAGACCUCAUUCGUAACUUUCUUUGGCUUGAAGCAGAAAUGACAAAGAACUCUAUCAGUCUCUUUUGGAAACUUACGCAGAACCUG